UGAACUGCGCGUCACUGCCGCGCGUGGCGGCUGGAGAGAAUAUCGUGCGGGGCGCUGCCGCGACGCGCAGUUCAGUUCGAGUGCGUGGGCACCUUUAUACUAACUUAUUUCCGUGGAUAGAGUACAGGUACUUAUUUGUAGGGAUAUCAUCACAGUUUUAAUUUAUUAGGGUGCUAUUUUGAAAUCAUAGACUAUCACUAGUUAUUUCUUUAGAGUUUUGUUGUUUAAUUCUUGUAUAAUGUAGCUAGUAACUUAAUUACAUUUUAUGAAACUAAAACAUUUUUGUUAUACAAUAAAAAUGUUUAAAAUCUGUAUAAAUCCUGUAACAUAAUAUCAGUUCAAUGUCUGUAAUAAAAUUAUUUCGAAGGAACAAACAAUUUUAUUUGACUGUAAGAGUUAGCGCAAACGGGCCACAGACCACCGGUGGCUGUCGCGUUCCACGCCCUUUGGUACCGCGCCAACGAAGGUGGACGAUGGCUGCCACGAGUGAUCGGUGGUUACAUAGUGGUCGUUGGUAGCCGCUACAAUUCAUAACUCUCCCGCUGUAAGUAGCGCGUGGCCACCUCCGGUGACAUGUUGCGGACACAGAUUGAAAUCUAUAGAGCGCACUUUGACUUUGCUUAGACUUAAGAUUUAGUUAAAACGAGACAGAUUUAUGCUAGCCAUAUAACGUUGUCUCGUUUUAACAGUGUAUUAAGUCAAAGACCCGCGUCGCGAGUGGCCCCACCGGUGGCGUUGGCGUGUCGCGCCACUCUCUACACGUGUGCGGCGAUUCCAUACAAAACGUAUUAAAAACAUUCAUAUAAUGACAAGAUAUGGUUGUACUAACAAAAAAAAAAUCACGGUUUGAUCACUAAAAAAAUCAGCGCCAUCUCUUAAACACUCAUGAACUCGGCAUUUUAGCAAUGCAAGGCAACGUCUGCUAGCGUUUGAAAUCCAGACGUCACAGUUCGCUUCGGUGCUCCUUACACAUUUUAGCACCGAGGAAUCGGUGCCAUUUUGUUUGUUCAUUGACCGGGUCCAUACGAAGUAAUGUAAGCCUAUGGUUAAAAAUCAUGUAAGCAGCUUGUCGCCAGCCAUCGCUGUUUGUGGCCCGUUUGCGCGAAGCCUUAUUAUUAUGUUUAUUUAUCUCAAAAAAACCUACAAUAAUUUAUUAUCUUUAAAAUAUUGUAUAAACUUAACUUUCAUUAUUAUUCAAAAGCAGGUUGUAGUUAUGUAGACGUUGUAAUAAAUAAAUUAAUUAAAAUUAAUGAUUAUUAAUUAAUACUAAAAUAUUUUUAUACCCGUUUCGGUCAUCGUAGUGGAACAUUGAUUAAUUAUCGAUUAGUGUCAAAAAUCUAGUGUUAUAUUGUUGUAAGUGUUAAAUGUAAUAUGUAAUGUUAUUAUGAAAGUGUUGUUUGGUGAUGCGCGACGAAAAAUGAAGACUUAUUUCUUUUCUUUUAUUAGCCGCCGAUUCUUUUAUUAGUUGUGAAUUCUUUUAUAAGAAAGAAUAUGUCGUCAUAUCUUUAACAAAUAGCUAUUUUUUAUUAGUCGUCAUUUCUUUUAUAAGUUGUCACUUCUUUUAUUGGUGAAUUUGGAGCUUGAAAUUUUAUUUUUUUUUGGGUUUUAGUGUAAGUGGGGGUCUUAGGCCAAAAUAAUAAUCAAUAUCUGUAAUCUGUCAAUAGGUUACUUAGCAACGUUUUUAUUUGUCAAAAAUUGUAUGCUCAUUUUGACAAUUAACGUCGCUACGUAACUUAUUGACAGAUUACGGAUAGAUUGAUUAUAUUGAUUUGUUUCGGCUGUGUGUGCAAUAAUAUAAGCCUAACUUUUUCGUGUUCUUAAUCUAAAGAACAGCCACAUUUUUGAUUAGCUAUCUAUUCUUUUGCAGAGUCGUCUCUUCUUUUAUCAAUUGUCUUUUCUUUUAUUUGAAUUAUGGUCGCGCGUUACCAAAUACCACAAUUAAUAUUAACUUGUUAUAUAGGAACGGUACAGGUGGCACUAGAAACUUGUAUACAUGUAGGGUAUUUAUAUCAAAACAAUAUUAUAUACUUAUAGUACUUAAUUAUCAUGCUAUGUAUAUUGUAUAUCUGUGUAGAUUGAAUAUUUAGCCCCUAGCACCAAGCUAUUACUACAAUCCUAUGUUGUUUCAAAAUGAUGUUUUCGCCUCUGACACUUCGUCUGCGUCAUCACUUACCACCUGGUGAGAUUGCAGUCAAGGGUAACUUGACAGCAAAAGAAAGAAUCUAUUUUUAUUGUGUAUAUAAUUUCUAAAUUGAACUAAUGAAUGUAAUGUAAUGCUAUCCCUUUCAUAAUGCUCCGUGCGAAAAAGGAUAGCAUGAGAUAACAAAAGUUGGUGCAAGGGGUUAAAAUUCUUUUCUCAUUUUUUUUUUCAAGGACACCUUAUAUUUUAAUGAUGGUGUUAUAAGCAUUUAUCAAACAAUAUAAUGAGGUGCGCUUAACAAUUAAUAUAUUAGAUCGUAUUGUAUGUAUUUCUUACUUUUCACUAACAAAAGUGUAAGAUAUUUCGAUUAAUAUAAAUUAUUAUUGAAAUGAAUGAGAUUUUGUUGAUUUGAUUCCUAACGAUAUUUUGUUAAGUUAUGCGUUUAUACGCUGUAUUUUAAUAUAGAUCUAACUUUUUUAAAGAUAGCAAAAUAUUUCGUUUUUACAUUUAAAUAAUCUUAUGUUGUGAAAUAGGCAGCUGAAUUCAUUUUUACGGUUUAAAAAGUGCAGUCGUCGUCAAAUAUUGUUAUAUAACCCGUGGUAACUAGCAACAUGGCAACUUUUGUGAUAUAAAAAUUGCCAAGUUCUCAAAUAGACUCAUAAAUAAAGGUACUUAGUAAUCUUGACUACUUACAUUUAUUUGACGGUGACUGUGCGCAGGGUUGGCGUGCGAAUGUUUUAAACACGUUUUAAACUUGUUUUAAACAAAAAAAAAUAGUUUUUUUCCAACCCUAGUUGUACGUAUGUAAAGUUUUAUAACAGAAUGUCAAAGCACAGUAAAGUAAGAAUUUAGUUUUAAAAAUAAUAAUUUGCUCGAAAAAUUUGUAAGGGUCGGGCUACAUGCAUGCGAAAGAAAUAAGCAAUUCUAAAUAUUAAAUUAAAAGCAAUCGAUAAAUAAGGAUAUAAUAUAUCUUCUUUUGCUGUUAUAAAUAUGUAGUUCUUUUUCUUCUGCAUUUAUCACAUUAAACAACUAAUUUAAUUUUUUCGGUCAUACCUCUUUAGCGCAUUUUAUGUUAGACGCAUUUUCAGACGUUUACGUAAUUGAGCGAUUUGCCAAAAAAAAAAAAAAACAAUGAAUAUUGUAUCUUAAUGCCGGCUAAUAUAAUGCGAAUGGAUAAUAUCAUGAUUGGGACCAAAGCUUUAGGCGGUAUCUUGCAAAAAUAUCAUAUCAUGCUUUAAGUAAAAGCCUUAUCCACAAAUAGUAUGCAAUCUCAUAUGUGUGGUUCGUAUGAGGUUUUACACCUCACUAAUGUUGAUAUAAUUCGAGAGUCGAUACACAACGUCAGAGUAAAUUGGACCUAAAGCCCUUAUUUUAAAGCCAAAAAUGCAGAAGCACUGGUUUUAAUUUGACAUGUUUUUCACUUGGAUCGCUGGCUGUAUGUAUGAACGAACUUGAUCUUAAAACCAAGGCUAUUAAGGUCCAUUUUACUUUCAUGCGUAAGUUUUUACUGACGCUCUAAUUCUACCAACGAAGCAACGAAUUAACGGUGAACCUAAAAUCAAAGUUUAAUUUUAUGUUUUAUCAUAUGUAGUUAUUUGAUGAUGCUUGUCUUUGAUUUUAGCCGGCUAAAGUAGAAUGGUAAAGAAAAGCAUUUAGAUUCAAAUGAUUUUUUUUAACUGUUGUCAUUCCAAAAACUGCAAAUGCUUCUGUUCAUUAUUAUUAAUCGAAACAUAUUAAGUUAGCAAGCGGAUUGAAGCCGCCAUUCCCAUUAUAAAGGACCAAUUUAUAUACUUUUGAUUUUUGUUUUUUUUUUUUUAAUUUUACUGUAUAAAAAUAAUUUGAUUAGGUACUUGUUCUAUUCGCUGUAGAUUGUUAUGCGUGUGCUUAAUACAAGGUGGGUUUACUUCAGUGAUAAUAACUAUUUUUCAUUUUGAGCUAUCUGGUGCGUUAUCUAGGUAACUCAAAAUAAUUGUAAAAUAUUGUAAAGCAUAUAUAUCUACUUGUUGGUUCUAUUUUCAUCGCUGUUCUUAUGAUAAUAUAAUAUGAUUAGAAUUUAUUGAUAGGCAAGUCAUAAUUAUGUACCAACUAAAUAAUGCCCGCGACUUUAUCCGCGUGGAUUUAGGUUUUUAAAAUUCCAAGAGAAAUCUUUGAUUUUCUGGGAUAAACUGUAUUCUAUAUCCGUGUACGGGAAGCAAGUACUAAACGUCAAAAUCGGUCAAAUGGAUGCGCGGUGAAAAGCUAAAGCAGACAGACAAGACUUUCGCGUUUAUAAUAUUAGUAUGGAUUCAUGUUAGUGCAAUGUAAACCCACCCUAAUUUUUGUUUUAUUUAAACAUAAGUCUACACUAUAAAUAUAACAUUUUUUCUUAACAAUAACAUUGUUAUGUUACAAUAUUAAGCUAAAAGUUAUGUAGCAUUGUAUGGAUUCAACGUAUUAAAGUAGUUCUUCCACGAUUAGAGAUUUUUUGAAAGCAAUAAAAAUGUAUAUUUGAAAAUUUUAUUUCUAGUUGAUUGAUAGAUAUUUUAUUCUCCUCUGUAAUUAUUUGAGUGUGUCGAGAGUUAUAUUACGCGAUGUUAUACAGCAACUUUUAAUUCGCACAACACUUAUAUUAUUUAAUUUGUAUACUCUGUGCUCCAAAUCUAUAGAAUAAAGGUUGUAUGCAAGUAUUUUUGUCAGUACUUACACUCAUUAGUUUCUUACAGAGUUCACUAUCAAUGCAAUCUGAUGAUAAACACUCUGUUCCUUCACUCUCACAGUCCGAUGGGACGGCAAUCCGACACGACGGAAGCAUUAAUACGGCAUUGCAUAUAUUGAUAGCGUUGUCACUUUUAUUGAAUAGUAAUAUUAUUUGGGACGAUCAGUCCAGCCUUUGUCUAAAAUAUCCAUUUUUAUUUUAGAGUAAGUAUUUGGCGCAUAGAGUAAAAUAAGUAUUUUAGUGUAAUUAAUGAUUUGAUUAACUAAGUAUAAAUAUUAAAAUCUUUCACCUUGGACUUUCUUGUAUAUAAAAAGUAGUUCUUUUUUGGAUUAUUUUUGUUAAUUGGAGUGAAAAUUGUGAAAAUAAUAUCGGUUCAAGCGAGGAUUGUGUACGAACAGGCAAAAUGUGUAUUAAUAAACGUAAUUAUAAUAUUGA
Maniola jurtina (meadow brown) is the source of this 5270-nucleotide long non-coding RNA. RefSeq lists it as uncharacterized. NCBI's taxonomy places the organism in Eukaryota, Metazoa, Arthropoda, Insecta, Lepidoptera, Nymphalidae. The transcript is spliced from 2 exons. The record is from RefSeq and is a predicted model, not a curated record.